Molecule: ribosomal RNA, 492 nt
Filed under: uncultured bacterium
Lineage: Bacteria
Description: partial 16S ribosomal RNA
Rfam family: Bacterial small subunit ribosomal RNA
Source: RNAcentral
AGUGAACGCUGGCGGUAGGCCUAACACAUGCAAGUCGAACGGCAGCACAGUAAGCGCUUGCUCUUACGGGUGGCGAGUGGCGGACGGGUGAGGAAUACAUCGGAAUCUUCUUUUUCUUGGGGGAUAACGUAGGGCCACUUACGCUAAUACCGCAUACGACCUACGGGUGAAAUCAGGGGUUCUUCGGACCUUUCGCGAUUGAAUGAGCCGAUGUCGGAUUAGCUAGUUGGCGAGGUAAAGGCACACCAAGGCGACGAUCCGUAGCUGGUCUGAGAGGAUGAUCGGCCACACUGGAACUGAGACACGGUCCAGACUCCUACGGGAGGCAGCAGUGGGGAAUAUUGGACAAUGGGCGCAAGCCUGAUCCAGCCAUACCGCGUGGGUGAAGAAGGCCUUCGGGUUGUAAAGCUCUGUUGUUGGGGAAGAAAAGCAGCGGGUUAAUACCCCGCUGUUCUGACGGUACCCAAAGAAUAAGCACCGGCUAACUUCGUG